CCUACGGGGUGCAGCAGUGAGGAAUAUUGGUCAAUGGCCGGGAGGCUGAACCAGCCAAGUCGCGUGAGGGAAGACGGCCCUACGGGUUGUAAACCUCUUUUGUCAGGGAGCAAGGUGCAGGUCGGGACCUGCUGUGUGAGUACCUGAAGAAAAAGCAUCGGCUAACGCCGUGCCAGCAGCCUAGGUAAUACGGAGGAUGCGAGCGUUAUCCGGAUUUAUUGGGUUUAAAGGGUGCGCAGGCGGCGGCAGAAGUCAGCGGUAAAAUCGCGGGGCUCAACCCCGCUCCGCCGUUGAAACUGUGUCCCUUGAGUGCGCGAAGGGUAGGCGGAAUGCGUGGGGUAGCGGUGAAAUGCAUAGAUAUCACGCAGAACUCCGAUUGCGAAGGCAGCCUACUAAACUGCCACUGACAUUGAUGCUCGAAAGUGUGGGUAUCAAACAGGAUUAGAUACCCGAGUAGUC
This 459-nucleotide ribosomal RNA is filed under the name uncultured bacterium. Its description in RNAcentral is "partial 16S ribosomal RNA". It matches the Rfam family "Bacterial small subunit ribosomal RNA", at positions 338 to 795 of the family's 1533-position model. The record is from RNAcentral.